Molecule: long non-coding RNA, 4296 nt
Filed under: Jatropha curcas
Lineage: Eukaryota; Viridiplantae; Streptophyta; Magnoliopsida; Malpighiales; Euphorbiaceae
Description: long non-coding RNA (JCUR_LNC000059)
Source: RNAcentral
AAUUAGCCAUCCAUCUAGCAUUUUAAUCUAAAUAUCAAAGAGUUUACACAUAAUCCACAGCCAUCAUAGACCACUCUAAUGUCAAAACCGUAGUACAUCAGUCAAAACACAAGCACUCAAACAGGACUCAAACAGGAAUAACACAAGGUCCAGGAUCUGUCGAAUCAAGCAAUAUUUGUGAGUUAGAUUGGCCCCGUUUACACCAAUGCGAUGCUGCUCUCGCCACCAGGGGGCUUGCGAACACCACCAAAAUAGUCCCUGGAUUCCGACUUUCCAUCUGCAAAGAUGUUACUGCCGCUUAUUUCUUUCAGUUUAGCGCUGCUUAGUGGUUUUUCAGCAGAUCCAGGAGGAACAUCUCCUUUGAAAAUAUCAUUGCCAGUCAACUCCUGAAACUUCUGAUUGUGUAUUUUCUUUGAUGUCCUAACAACCGGUUCUUCACCAAACAGGAUGUUACUCUGACCUCCAGCAGGCUAUAAAAGUUAAAAACCAAAGUCUAGUUAGGCAAGAGAGCUAGAAGCCAAAGCUAAUGGGAAUUCAUCAUGCAUGCAUUAGCAUAAAGAUGAUAUUUCAGUUACCAACAAACAAACCAACCCACCACAAAAGCGCUUGUUUUCUAAAAGUGGGAAGUUUGGCAAGAAUAUGGAAAACUAAAGUGAAGACAUUGAAUGGGGUGGCAAGAGCAAGUCGAUUCUUAUUGUUAAUGCAAAAGACAAAUUUUAUAGUCCAUGUGAAUAGAUGAAGAUUUGAAAUGAGAAAUUAUUUGAAUUUGCAUUAAUGUUGAUGUUAAUAAUCUUUCACUUGAUGUUUGAGAUAAUUCAUGUUCACUUCUGAUGGACAUCUAUCCAAAUGGACCCUAAUCCUGAAGAAAAUUUCCAAUUGCAGUCCACAAAAAGGCCAAGAUUGAUCAUUCUAGGAGCCUUUUCUAUCAUUUAACAGGCAUGAGGGAUUGAACUGCAUUUCUUUCUAUGAACAUUUUGCAGUUUGAGAGUCCCAAAAUGUUGACACUUGGAAGACGUGCUUCCAAAAUGCUGCUACUCCUAUAAAUGAACCUCAAUGAAAACAUUUAGCCCACAAAGCUCACAUUGUUCAUUGGUUAUUAUGUCAGAACUUAGAAGAAAGCAGUAGCACCAAAUUAACUAUUACAUUCCUAUGCUCUUACUGAUAAGAUCAUAAUGUAUAGUUCUAGAUAAUAAAUGAAGAUUUUAGAACGCAUAAAAACAUGCACUCACAUUGGAAACUUUAACAGAAGUGCGUAUGUUUCGUGGGGCAGGUUUCUCAAUGUCUUUGUUUUCCUUUGUUUCCAAGGAACGUGCAGCAGCCAAGGACCGGGGUGCAAUUUCAGGUGAAGGGGCAAAGAUGUCAUGUCCACUUAUUUCCUUGAAUUUUGCAUCUGAUAUCUGCUUUUUACUGUUCAUGUCUGACUCACUUUGCAGAGUUCCACUUAACUCACGCUGCUUUGCUACCUCAGGAAGAGAAGUAGGCUUCUUGGGAGAGAUACUCUCCUCAGUAUUAAAUGAUAUCUGGCUAAUUCCAUUCAUUGCUUGCUGAAAAUGCAACCAUUAAUGGGAAAUGUAAUCGUGAUUAAUCUUAGAUAAUAAGUAAUCAAGCAUUAUUUUGUAUAAUUAAAGGGAGACCAAAGUACCUGAUAGACACGCACACUAGUUUUGUUAAUGGGAUUAUCAGCGCCAGAUUCAGACGCAUUAUCUCCACCAUUAGCUGCAAAUAUACCACUGCCAGUCAUCUCCUUUAACUUAUAACCGGAACAGGGCUUCCUGGAGAUGGCAAAGGGAAAAAUUCAGGACCUCAGAUAGCUUGGAUAAUUCAUAACCCCACAUGGUAUAAAGGUGAAUUCCCUUUUGAUAGGCGUUUCCAGAGAUGCACCUCAAUGUUCACAUAUAUACAAUCAGAAAGAGUACAUGGGAAAAGAAAAUAAAUCGGAAAAGAACAUACCCAAUUGAUCCCUUAUAAUUCAUAAAUUCUGGAAUAAUUUAUACUACAUGAUUUUUUUGCUUAACUAUCAAAUUUCACAUACACCUUCAAGAUUGUUUUUUUUUUUUUAAUUUUAAAAUUCAAACAACUGCAUAAAGAGUUAACUUUGAGAGAACAAUGGACCUCAAAUGACUUUUAGCCUUUCAACUGGUCCAUUAGCACUUCAAGAUAAUCUUACUAUUAUGUAAAUUUAAGCAAUCCAAUCUUGGGUUUUACUCUUCCAAACACUUCAACUUAAAUACCUUAUCUUCAUUAUCCUUCUUCUACCCCUGUUCCUGGACUUCAUGGAUCACCAUCAGGAAUAGACAUUUAAGUUUCCGUCUUUUCAAGUAAAAUUGGGCUUUUUGAAACUUUUUUUUUUCCAAAAGAAAGAAAAAGAAUUUGAAAACUUCGUUGAUCUUUUAAGUUCCUCUUCUCUCUUCAUCACUGUUUGUAGAUAAAUUCUAUUCAACAAAGGUAACUUGGUAAUUUAAGGGCCACAUAUCUUAGCCCAAGUUAAAGUAGCAAAACCCAAGGCUUUUUUUAAUUGUUUAAUAAUUAAUGCAUAUAACUUUUUUUAAAAAAUAAAAUUUAUGAAAUCACUGUAUUUUUCUUUUUUUAUUCUACAUUCCUUUUUUUCUUUUUUUAUAAGACUAGUCCUUAUAAAGUUGUAUUAUUAUUAUUAUUAUUAUUAUUAUUAUUAUCUCUAUUAAAAUUCUAUGUUUUUUUUCCAUCUCUUUUCUAUUUAUUAUUAUUUUUAUAUUUAUUAUUAUUUUCCCUAUCCAUAUAAAUCUAAUGUCAUUUAGUAUUAUUUAUUUAUUAUAAUACUUAGAUAUUAUAUUUUUAUUCAAUUGAUUGUAUACAUAAUAAUCAACAUAUAAUUUAACUUUGAAUUUAAAAAUUAUAAGUGCGAAAUAUUUUUAAUUAUUUUAUAUUAGAUUUUAUAUUUUUAGAUUUUUUAUUAUUAACUAAAAUCUUUAAGAGCUUAAUAAGGAAGAGAUUUGAUAAUUGGAAGAAUUUUCCACAUUAUGAACUAAAAGAAAAGAAAAAAUAAUUUUAGAAAAAAAAACAGUUUUGAGAAAUAAGUAACCAAAAACUGAAAACAGUUUUAUGUUUUUAAUAAAUAAAAAACUAAAAAUAAAUAACAGUAACAAACGGACUUAGUAAUUUAGAAAUACAUUUUCCUUCUCUAAAUAUAUUUUCGCAUACUAAAAACUCUCAAAAACUCAUUUCUCCAAUUAAAAUAAUUAUAUAAAUAAAUAAAAAUUCAUAAAACAUAUAUUUUUUAUGAGUAUGGAACUUGUAUUUUUUUUAUACGAUUAAAUAUUGAUUAGAGUUGUUGUUGAAUAUAUUUAAUAAUUUAUAAUAAUUUAUAUUUUUAUAUUUAUAAAUAUAACUUUAUAUUUUCAUAUUUACGCAUUUCUUUCCGUUUCUUAUAUUUUUAAAAAGAUCGUUUCCUGUAUCCGUUUCCGCAUUUCACCUUUUUGUGCAACAUAGAUAUUAUAUGUUCAAUAUAAAAGUAAAAAUAAUUAAAUAAAAGUUUAAUUUAACAAUUUAAAUGUUCAAAAGAAAAAUCCUUCAUUAUCCACACUGGAUUAUAAGGAAGUUUAAUCAGCCUGCUUCAAUCAACCCAAUCAGUCUAUUAGAAGUCUCGAUCAGUCCGUAGAUUUUAUGAAGUUUAUAAAUUCCACAUUAAUGGUGGUAGCUAAGGUUAAAGACGAAAUAACCAAAACCAAAACCAAAAUAAAAAAAGAAAAAAAAGAAAAAAAAACCACCAUAUCAGAUGAUCAUUUGUACCUUAAAUUUAUCAAAGUACUAAACUGUAAAUUAUUGUUAAAAAGGGUACUAACUAUAUAUCAAACUUAAUUCUAGAGUUAAAUUUCCAGUUUCACCAUACAAUCAUGGCCUUGCGUCUCAAGAAGUAAAACACAGGACUGCGUAAUACAUACCAAAAAAAAAAAACAACGGCUCCAGAAGAGCUAAUGAUUGAGAGACAGAAAUAACUGAAUUAGCCAUCCAUCUAGCAUUUUAAUCUAAAUAUCAAAGAGUUUACACAUAAUCCACAGCCAUCAUAGACCACUCUAAUGUCAAAACCGUAGUACAUCAGUCAAAACACAAGCACUCAAACAGGACUCAAACAGGAAUAACACAAGGUCCAGGAUCUGUCGAAUCAAGCAAUAUUUGUGAGUUAGAUUGGCCCCGUUUACACCAAUGCGAUGCUGCUCUCGCCACCAGGGGGCUUGCGAACACCACCAAAAUAGUCCCUGGAUUCCGACUUUCCAUCUGCAAAGAUGUUACUGCCGCUUAUUUCUUUCAGUUUAGCGCUGC